RNAcentral lists this ribosomal RNA (426 nucleotides) under uncultured bacterium. Its description in RNAcentral is "partial 16S ribosomal RNA". It matches the Rfam family "Bacterial small subunit ribosomal RNA", at positions 354 to 796 of the family's 1533-position model. The record is from RNAcentral.
GUGAGGAAUUUUCCGCAAUGGGCGAAAGCCUGACGGAGCAAUGUCGCGUGAAGGAUGAAGGCCUAUGGGUUGUAAACUUCUUUUCUUAGAGAAGAAUAUUGACGGUAUCUGAGGAAUAAGCAUCGGCUAACUCUGUGCCAGCAGCCGCGGUAAGACAGAGGAUGCAAGCGUUAUCCGGAUUCACUGGGUUUAAAGGGUGCGUAGGCGGUUUUAUAAGUCAGUGGUGAAAUCAACGGGCUCAACCUGUUAACUGCCAUUGAUACUGUAGGACUUGAAUAUGAGAGAGGUAGGCGGAAUGUUGCAUGUAGCGGUGAAAUGCUUAGAUAUGCUACGGAACACCGAUUGCGAAGGCAGCUUACUAUUUCAUGAUUGACGCUGAGGCACGAAAGCGUGGGUAGCGAACAGGAUUAGAUACCCGUGUAGUCC